Non-coding RNA from Erinaceus europaeus (western European hedgehog), 64 nucleotides. NCBI's taxonomy places the organism in Eukaryota, Metazoa, Chordata, Mammalia, Eulipotyphla, Erinaceidae. The record is from Rfam.
AAUAGAUGAUGAACUUAAUGAUGGCUGAGUAGAAACUCUGUACUGAUUGUCAUGCUCUGAUUUA